RNAcentral lists this long non-coding RNA (6440 nucleotides) under Coffea arabica (coffee). RNAcentral's name for it is "long non-coding RNA (CARA_LNC007853)". The record is from RNAcentral. Lineage: Eukaryota; Viridiplantae; Streptophyta; Magnoliopsida; Gentianales; Rubiaceae.
UUUUUUUUUUUUUUUUUUUUGUAUUGUGCAACCAUUAAGAUUUGACACAAAAAAAAACCAUUAAGAUAUAUUUGUGGUGUUAAAAUAUAUUUUUGAAAAUGUAAAAUUAAUUAAGGAAAGUAUAUAAAUAUGAGGGAGUAUUUUUGGAGAUGUAUGAUUAAUUAGGAAAAGUAAAUAAAUACAAGAAAUGAUUGGUAAGAUUAGAUGAGAAAAGUAUUAAAUGCAAGGGAAAGUAAUAGCGGUGAAUUUUAAAUAUCUUAAUAAAAUAAAAGUACCUAAUGGAUAUGGGUAUCCAUUAAAAAAAACCCUUUCUUAAAUAUUUUUUCUUGCGAAGUCAAAAAGUAUAAUAUGGCGUGGUUUUGAUCUCUUAGGAUUCGUUUGGUUCACGGACCAAAUAAGACGGGAUGACUUGUGCUCGAAUUAUUAAUUCUGAAUUGAGUCAUUUUCAGAUAAAUAAUCUAAGUUAUCUAGUGUUUGAUUGGUUAUAAAUUGGAUAGGAUAUGUUGGGAAAUAAUCCUAUCCUGUGUUUGAUUGGAAAUUGGAUGAGGUAAGAUUACUAUUUUAAUGACCAAAGCACUCCUUAAUUUGUAGAAUUCUUUUUAAUAAAAUAAUUUAAUAUUUUAUAAAAUAUUAAUAAUUUAAUAUUAAAAAAUAAUUUCAUAAAAAAUUUCAUAUUUAUAACUUUUAUUAAAAUAGAGUAGUUUGAAACUUUAGAAUUAUAAGGUAAAUCAUGGGUUUUAAUAUAUAAAAAUUUGCAUUCACUCAAACUCAACCCAUUCGGGUUCUUAAAAAUAGAUUUUUGAGCAAGUUUUUGAACAUAAAUUUGAAAUUCAAUUAAAUAAUGGGCUGAGCUUUGCUAAGUUAGGGUUAAAUCGAUUAAAACCUAACCCAUUUAAGAGUUUUAAAUGAGUCGAACUCAAUCUAAUAUAGAAGAUGUUUCUUUGGACCGAGUUUGAGUUUAUUGAAGUCCUUAUUCACAAAGGCCAAUUGAUAAGGUUAUAUAUUUAUAUAGAAUUUGGUUUAGAAAAUAAGCUUAGUAAGGAUAAUUUAGUCCAAGGGCAAUAUAGUCCUUCUAUUAUGAUAUUAGUAUGGCAAAUUAGUCAAAAAAUUUAAAUUAAUUAAUAGGGGUAAAUUAGUCAAAAUUUUUAAAAUAAUAAAUAGGAGAAAUUAGUCAAAAAAAUUCAAAUAAUUGGUAGGGGCUAAUUAGUCCAUUUAUUAUCAUAUUAUUAUGUGAGAGUAUGGUUAUAUAAUAGUUAGUAUGAAUUUGUAUCACUCAUAAGGGCAAAUUAGUCUAAAUAUAUUAUAUUGGUAGUAGGAGUAAAUUAGUCAAAAACUUUAAAAUUAAUUAGUCGGGGCAAAUUAGUCCAUUCAUUUUAUAUUAUCAUGUGGGAGUAGGGUUAUUUAAUUAUAAGAGUAUAACUUUAUAUUUUUUGUAAGAGUUAAUUAAUCUAAAAUUUGAUCAUCCUAUUUGUUAGUUAUCCCAGGAUAACUAAUAUCACCUCCCCCAUUUGAUUAUUUUAUCCCAUAAAUAGGGGAUUAGUUCAGUUAAGUAAGAUGUGUCAUCCUAUAUAUAAAAUGUAAUCAAAUAUGAGAUAACACAUGAUAAUUAAUCCAAUUCUGUAUCAUCCUAUGAACCAAACAAGUCCUUAGUACUUUGAUAACUUCAAGGACUCUGGUCGAAAUUUAUAUUUGGACACAAUUGACCCCAUAAAAAUAAAUCUAUACUGGAUGCAAAUGUGCCCUUAGAAUUUGUAAAAUUGUGUGACUCUGCCAUCAUAGGAAAAUAUUGAUAAGAUGGGUAACAUUGGAACAAAUUUUGAGUUCUCAAGGGAAAAAAAUAACACUUGAGGUUAUUAAUGGACAUGAAAUGAUAAUUUGGAUUGCAUUUUUCUGAAUUUUUUGUAAAAAAAUUAUUAUAACGAUUUGAUAUAUGUGAAGUAAAAAGAUAAUUGAAAAAUGCGUUCAGAAAAACGUAACAAUUUUUUUUUCCAAAAAUUGCUUUCCAAACAAGACCUAAAGGCAUUUAUUGAAGGAAAAAUUUCACCAACGAUUUUGUGUAGCAAUUGGAUAAUUGACAUAUUUAGAAGAAGCAAUCCUAAACAAUUAUCCAUACAUACAGUAUAUAUAUAAGGAGAGAACAGGGUUGGUGUAAAUUUUUUCUGUUACUUUUUGUAAAUCCUAUUUUAUCCUUCAAAUAAAGGGCAAAAUGGUAUUACCAUCUCCCAAAAAUAAACACACACACACACACACACACACACAUCUCCCAUUUUUUAAGUCUAAAAAAACUUCUAAUAUGGUAAUAAUGGCCAAUAACUUUUUAUCAAAAAAAGAAAUCGAAAAACAAAUUAUUUUCAUUCAUAUAUCUAAAAUAAAUCCUCAAUAACUACCAAAAACUUUAUUAACUUUCUCUCUAAAAAUUUACUUAUUUUAAAUGUGUACACACAUAGAAUGUGCCCUUGUCACUAGUUCAGUAUAAUACUUUGCAUGAGGAUAUGCAUGUUUUCAGUUGAAAUAUCAUAAAUGAAUGGCUAUUGAGUAGGGAUAUUAAUUAGUUAUUUGCUAUUUAAGAUACACAAAUUGCUACUAUUGUAUCUACUAUUCUAUUUAUUUCUUUGGCAUUGCUUGAUAACUCAUUUCAACACUUAAAGCUUAGUAUAUUACCUUAACAUAUUCAAACGUGUUUCUGAAUUGUCUAGACAAAACUUACUCCAAAAUAUAAGUGAUAAAUUGUUCAUUUAUUAGUAAACAUAGAAUACGUUUAAAUGUUAGAAUUUCAAUAUUCAACAAUUCAAUAAUUUAAUGGAUUCAAAUUUCAAGACUUUAGAUUUUAGAUAUUAUUUUUAUCAAAUGCACCGUUUGUCAAUUUUCAAUAUUUUCUUCGGUUAUUGAUUUUUUUUUUUAAUGUGUUCAUAAAGGCGGGGUCUCUAGAGAAGAAAGUGUGGCACCUAACGUGGCAUGGCUGAUCCAUCACUUUCUUAGAUGGGGUCCUCAUCAGUUGAAUCUAAUUCUUUCUCCAAGUGAUGAAAAUUUGUUAAAAGAGUUUUUCCGGCUAAUUAUUCAGAAUAUCGUUGUAAAACAGAAAAGUCGGACGUUUAUGGCUCUGACAAGUGACGCUGCAAAUCUAUGGCUACGGGCUGUGUCAGCCCGGCAGCGAAUUUUUUUUUUUGUUUUUUUAUAAAGUCCCUGGCUCCUGGGCUGACAAGGCCCGGCAGCCAGGGACUUUAUAAAAAAAAUCUGCACAAAACCUGCUAGAUCGAUUCUUAAGGGAAAAGGGCUUGAAAAUAUUCUUCAAUUACUACUUACUACUACUAGUAUUUCAUCCAUUGAUUUUAUCUCUCUAAUAUUUCAGCACCUUUCCAUAUAGUGAAUUGCUCUACUAGCUGGUGAAGGCACCGGUUUUCCCUGGCCAAGUUUGCAUCCUCAUUUGCCAGUCUUGAUUUUUCAGCACCACCAUAAACUAAUUAUCAACUUUAUUUCACCACCACCAUAAUUAUCAACUAACUUGCAUGAUAAAGUGAAUUGCAUUAAACUAAUAUCACUAGUUUCAAAAUUAAGCUAUGCUAAUUACAUUAAUUUUAUGUAUUUAAUUUAUUAAAUGCAGCUAGUACUUCAAAUACUUAAAUUGCCCAGACUAAAUGGCUAUCUUAAUCAAAACUCAAUAUAUGCCUCGUCAAAUACAUCUAAAUUCAUUGAAUCGAACCUCUUAAAAUUAAUUCAUUCAACUAAUUAAAUCACUAAACUAAUUAAACUAAUCAUAUACUAAAUAACAUAAACUAAUUAUCAACUAACUUGCGUAAUGAAGUAAAUUGCAUUAAACAAAUAACACUAAUUUCGUUAAUUAAGUUGCGCUAAUUACAUCAAUUUUAUGUAUUGAAUUUAUUAAAUAUGCCAAUUUUAACGGAUCAAUUGCAAUUAGAAUAACGGAUCAAUUGCAAUUAAAAUAACGGAUCAAUUGCAAUUAAAAAAAAUUAAUUGCAAAGCACUAGGAUUUCCUUUUUUUUUGGGUUAUUGAAGUUGGCAAGAAGAUUUGGGAUGAACAUAGUAAUAGCGGAUAAGCAUGGUAAUAACAGUUAUGCAAUGGUGGAUGAGUAUUGUAAUAGCAGUUAAGUAAAUAUGAGAGUAUGGAAUAUAAGAUGAUUGUAUAUUAUUUUAUCAUACGAGGGUCAAAUUAAAAUAAUGACAUUUUUUUAACAUCAAACCCAUUGUCCACACAUUGUAUAUAGAAAGAUUAUAAGUUAAAAAUGGAAAAAAAAAUUGGUUGAUUUCUCUCUUUUUUUUUCCUUUUCUUUUGGGGUGUGUACAUAAGUUGAUUCUUUUCUCUCUUUUUUUUUAACAAAUUUUUUUUUAGUUUCUCCUUUUUGUACUUGAGGUGUGAAAAUAUCUAAAUUAUUUUAAUUCUAAAGUUUCCAGAUGGUACAAAGGAGUGGGAAGAAAUUCAUGCAAGUGAUAUCAUCAUCAUGUGCAACGAGAAUAAUUAAACCACAAGCUGUGGAAUCUUUAAUUGGGCAUAGAAGUGAGUUAGUAAGAGGCAAAGUAGGAAUUAAUUAAAGAAUGAAGAGAUUCACUAUAUGGAAAGGUGCUGAAAUAUUAGUAGUAAGUAGUAAUUGAAUAUUUUCAACCCCUUUUCCCUUAAGAAUCGAUCUGGCAGGUUUUGUGCAGAUUUCUUUUUAAAAAAAAAAAAAAAAAAUUCGCUGCCGGGCUGACACAACCCGGUAGCCAUAGAUUUGCAGCACUCCUUGUCAGAGUCAUAAAUGUCCGAUUUUUUUUUUUUACAACGAUAUUCUGAGUAAUUAGCCAGUUUUUCCUAACUUUUGAAACUUUGAUUUAGUUUCCUUUCAAUUUUAGUUAUGAAAAUACCCCACACCACAUAUGUUCGUUCUCUUGAAAAACCUUUUUCUUUUUAAAAGCUCCAAGUAAAGUAAACUAAUUGUUUCAUAAGACACCUUUUCUUGUGGGGCGUAAAGAAAGAAACCAAAAAAAAAAAAAAAGAUUUUUCAAUUUGAAGAAAAGGACGAUGACAUUGACAGUCACCUAAACAUGGUGGAGUGGAGCUCUUAUUAAAGGUCUCUAUCGGAAAGGAAGACCUAAAGUAGCCUACUCAGUCCCAACUACAGCCACAGGUUCAUUAUCAUCAUCUAAAGUACGCAGAAGCCACUGGCCAUUUGGUCCAGUGGUCAUCACUAUUAAAGGUGAUGCUGGAGGUCAGGGGUUCAAUCCCUGCCUCCCACAAAUUUGCCACAAUUUGUGGCGGUCUUAAUUGACCUUCAUCGAUAGAGUCUGUACUCACAUCGAACCCCCUCCCCUUCCCCUUAGACUAGGCUAGAUUAGGUUAUAGGACAUCUAUCGUUUCGACAAAAAAAAAAAAAUCUAGAUGGAGUCUGUACUCACAUCGAACCCCCUCCCCUUCCCCUUAGACUAGGCUAGAUUAGGUUAUAGGACAUCUAUCGUUUCGACAAAAAAAAAAAAUCUAAAGUACGCAGAAGUAGUAGUAGAACUGGAGAAGGCUAUUAAGGUCUAGGGACAAAGGAUAAAGUCUAGGGACAAGAGAUAGGGAAGGAUGGAGAUUCAUGAAUAUUAUGAAUAUGUUUUUUUAAAAAAAUAUUAUACCACAUUUAUACCAAUUUUAACUCUUAUUUUUGUGUAUGAGGCGUUAAAUUUAUCAAAAUUUUAUGGAUUAACUUUUUAUGCACUCACAACGUAAGGGUAGUGUUUUUUUUUUUUUUAAACACUAAUGGCUUUGAAUGUAUGCUGCAUAUGGGCAUAAUUUGAAUUUAAAAUCUAAAUUCAUAUUAUGUGAUAUGAUCUAAACAUGAUAGUGUAAAAAAAAAAAAUAUUAUACAUUGACAAUGUAUAAAAGAAGUUUUCCAAAUUUUAUUACCUUAUUACUUUUGUAUGUGCAUCUACAAAGUUAGGCUACAUGUUGCUGUCAUUUUAUAAAUAACUAAGAAGAUAAGUCAUUGUCCUUAAAUUAAAAUUUUAUUUUUUUUUCAAAAAUUGAUGUAUAAUUUGUAAAGAAUACAUCAAAAAAUUUAUUACGCGUUUCAUAAAAUUAAUUAAUUAAAAAAUAUGAGUAAUUUUCAAAAUAUUCACUACAUUGAUUCAUUUACUUGGUUUGGCAUAUGCUCUGUUUAUAGGUUGCAGACAUUCACAGCGGGGUCAUUCAGAAACAUGGUGAGACACAACUAUGGCACAAGAUUUUGAGUUUGGUUGGCCCAAAACCAGUCCAUGAGAUUUGCAUUAUAAACACAUAAUUCAGUAAUCUGUGAGACACUGAGACAGCCUCCGAAUAAACCAAAAACUGUGUCCACAAGAUGCUUAUUAGAAAAAAACUAAAUUCCAGAACAGGAUAGUCUAGUUCCAGGUUGCAUUACAUCGAAGAGUUUCGAACAGAAUUUCACGGAUUAAUAAUGACACAAUCUCAGCAGCCUCAGCAGCAACCU